Molecule: small nuclear RNA, 136 nt
Organism: Callithrix jacchus (white-tufted-ear marmoset)
Lineage: Eukaryota; Metazoa; Chordata; Mammalia; Primates; Cebidae
Gene: U2
Rfam family: U2 spliceosomal RNA
About the family: U2 is a small nuclear RNA (snRNA) component of the spliceosome (involved in pre-mRNA splicing). Complementary binding between U2 snRNA (in an area lying towards the 5' end but 3' to hairpin I) and the branchpoint sequence (BPS) of the intron results the bulging out of an unpaired adenosine, on the BPS, which initiates a nucleophilic attack at the intronic 5' splice site, thus starting the first of two transesterification reactions that mediate splicing.
Source: Ensembl
AUCGCUUCUUGGCCUUUUGGCUAAGAUGAAGUGUAAUAUUUGUUCUUAUCAGUUUACUGCUACAUGUCUCAUUUCCCUUCUCCACAAAAUAAAGAAAUUUUAAUGUUCUUUAAAGUCCUUCAGGUUCAAAACCUCU